CCUACGGGGGACAGCAGUGGGGAAUAUUGCACAAUGGCGGAAACCCUGAUGCAGCGACGCCGCGUGAGUGAAGAAGUAUUUCGGUACGUAAAGCUCUAUCAGCAGGGAAGAAAAUGACGGUACCUGACUAAGAAGCCCCGUCUAACUACGUGCCAGCAGCCGCGGUAAUACGUAGGGGGCAAGGGUUAUCCGGAUUUACUGGGUUUAAAGGGGGCGUAGACGGGAGCGGAAGUCUGCAGUGAAAUCCCCGGGCUUAACCAUGGAACUGCUUUGGAAACUUGGCAGCUUGAGUGCAGGAGAGGUAAGCGGAAUUCCUAGUGUAGCGGUGAAAUGCGUAGAUAUUAGGAGGAACACCAGUGGCGAAGGCGGCUUACUGGACUGUAACUGACGUUGAGGCUCGAAAGCGUGGGGAGCAAACAGGAUUAGAUACCCCGGUAGUC
RNAcentral lists this ribosomal RNA (440 nucleotides) under uncultured bacterium. RNAcentral describes it as "partial 16S ribosomal RNA". It matches the Rfam family "Bacterial small subunit ribosomal RNA", at positions 338 to 795 of the family's 1533-position model. The record is from RNAcentral.